AGACGAACCGGACAAACGUUAUUCGGAAUCAUUGGGCUUAAAGGGUGCGUAGGCGGUGCGGAAAGUUGGGUGUGAAAUCCCUCGGCUCAACCGAGGAACUGCGCUCAAAACUUCCGUGCUAGAGUGAGACAGAGGUGAGCGGAACUGAUGGUGGAGCGGUGAAAUGCGUUGAUAUCAUCAGGAACAUUGGUGGCGAAGGCGGCUCACUGGGUCUCUACUGACGCUGAGGCACGAAAGCUAAGGUAGCGAACAGGAUUAGAAACCCCAGUAGUCC
This 274-nucleotide ribosomal RNA is filed under the name uncultured bacterium. RNAcentral describes it as "partial 16S ribosomal RNA". It matches the Rfam family "Bacterial small subunit ribosomal RNA", at positions 523 to 796 of the family's 1533-position model. The record is from RNAcentral.